This 65-nucleotide transfer RNA is filed under the name Dipodomys ordii (Ord's kangaroo rat). It matches the Rfam family "tRNA". From Rfam's summary of the family: Transfer RNA (tRNA) molecules are approximately 80 nucleotides in length. Their secondary structure includes four short double-helical elements and three loops (D, anti-codon, and T loops). The record is from Rfam by way of RNAcentral. Lineage: Eukaryota; Metazoa; Chordata; Mammalia; Rodentia; Heteromyidae.
GGUGGCUCAGUGGUAGAGCGCCCGCCUUGCAUGCCUGAGGCCCUGGGUUCGAUUCCUCAGCACCA